This 12249-nucleotide long non-coding RNA is filed under the name Sorghum bicolor (sorghum). Its description in RNAcentral is "long non-coding RNA (SBIC_LNC009097)". The record is from RNAcentral. Lineage: Eukaryota; Viridiplantae; Streptophyta; Magnoliopsida; Poales; Poaceae.
UUGGAUUCAUGAUAUACAUAAGGCAGAUGCAACUAAAAUUAAAAUCGUUGACUCUGUAGUACAAAACAAGGAACAUUAUCAAUUCCAAUCCCACCUUCACAGCUUCACUAUUGGAUUUGGAUUCGACACUCCGUCACCGAUAAGGUUAGACAUCCUUCUGCUGGUAUCUCAACCACAAAAAUGCAGAUUUAUUUUAAAAAAUAUAGUGGAUGACGCCAAUGCUACUCACCCCCUUGCAUGUUGUCUCUAUAGCUUAGCCACUAUCUCCAUGCCAUAGCAACCAUCUUCGCCACCACUUUCCUAGCCACCACCUUGUGCUCCAUGUCUCGCCACUAUCUCCACCACCACUGGCAGCCCUCACAGAUCGAGACAUAGAGCAAUAUCACAUGUUGAUUCAAUACAGGGAGAGAGUAAAUGGAGGGACCUAGCAGAUCAAAGAAAGAGGAUGAGAUAGAAAUAAAUGAAUCUCAAACCUGUCCGCGCUGCUGCCAAGCUGCAUCAUGUGUCGCACCACAUGCCAUUGGUCGUAUGAGCCCUCAUAUUGCUGACGCGGAGCCACUCGCAGCACCACUUGGUGCCACACAUGUGGCCGCUAGUCAUGUUACUAUGUUUUUCUUCUGAGUUGACCUUUUCUCCUACAAACUGUCACAUGUUGUUAGAACAUAUUUUAAUAGUAUUUGUGUUUGAAUGUUAUAUGCAUGCCAAGGUGCAACAAUGAGUUCUCUAGCACAAUUUGUUAUCACGAGAAUCUGUGUUGAUUAUGCAGUCCUUUAUGACUUAGCUUUCAGAUGACCAAAAGCUAGUGCAUAUGUGCCAUUUUGAAAUCCACUUUGAUGAUGUGAUUUUAAUACCGCUCCCAUAAAUGAUUACAGUACAAGUUUUUUCCUUAAUUAUUGAAUUAUCUACAACUAGUUUAUCUUGUUGCUCUAUAUGCACCAUGGGUCCAAGAAGCCAUCCAAUUUUGGUCUAGCACCACUGCCACCAUUAUCCCAAAGGGCUGGUGCUAGUAGCAGUUACCAUGAUGCUGCUAGGAUCAUCUUCACCGAUGUUGAGAUGGGAAUCAUCAGGAAGGAGAAGAACCUAUAAGAGCCUUUGAGAAGUGAUCCUAACAAGGUGAAGAGCUAACUGCUCACUCAAGAGAAGGUUGUCUACCAUUGCAGGGAUGGACCAAAUAACCGAGCUAGCAUACUCUGCAAAGGCAAAGCCAUGGAUGGUGAUGCGCACCAAAGAUCUUGAGCGCCUCUUGUUGUGACAAUGGAGGUGCACAAUACCUUUUCCCAAGAAUUGCAAUCUCUAAAGGUUUGUCCUUAGCUUGGAAUUACAAGGGACAUGUUGAUCAUUUCAUUUAUUAAUUGUUAACGUUGGUUACUAUGUUGUGUAAAUGUCCAUGAGUGCACCAGGGAUCUGUACCCAAAUGGGCAGAGAAGAUGAUGAUUGGAGAGCUAGAGCAACAGAAAAUGUUAAAAUAAAAGAUGGUAUGACAUGUUUGUUUUGUUUGCUUUAUUCAAGCAUGCAUUAUUUUGUGCUCCGUGCUUGGAAUUUUGGGUGUGGUAACAUAAAUUAAUGUGGAUGCAUAUGAUCCAAAGGUUUCCUACAACUCCAAUUGUAGUUUUUGGAAGCACUCAUGUUACAGGAUGUAGUAUGUUAGGGAACCAUACAUAAAUAAGAUGUAUCUAAAAUUACAAUCAUUCUGUUGUAACAUGAGUUUACGGCUAGCUCAUAUGAUAGACGUACUCACAAUAGUACAGAAUAGGGGAACACUGCUGGUUCCAAAGCCACUUUCACUGCUGGAUUUGGAUCCAGCAGUGCGUCACCUUCAGUGGAGAUUAGAGGUACAUACUACUGGUCUCUCAACCAGAAGUGAUGUGUAUUUUUAGGAAAAAAUAACAGUUGACGACACCAACAUAGGUCGUCCCUGUAACACCCUAGAAUCCACAAACAUCUCAGGAUGCUACUAAACUUCGCAAAGACAUCUAUACUUGCCAAAUAAAAAUUUUAGCAACAUCUCCCUUAUAUCUAUAAGCAAUGCAGAAGCAAAACAUAACAAAAGAAUAAAAGUUACUGCAAAAGAAUAAUUUUACUAACCACACUUUAAACAUUGUUGUCAAGCUAGAGACCAGAACUAAAUUAUUGCGAUUAUAAAGGUCAUAGGUUCUAAUAGGAGUGUGAGACAUGCAGUCAGUUCCCUUCUCUUCCUAGAAAGCAUCAAAUACCUGGAAAUAGUCAUGCAAGAGUGAGAUGAAACUUCUCAGCAAGAAAAAUUAUUUUGACAAGCUAUUUAAACCAUGAUUUGAAUUAAGCAACAAUUUAAAGAAAUCCACAUAAUAAUAGAAGGAAUGCAUUAAUGUAACCAUGAGUCAAAUUAAUGCUGCUAUUGACAAUGAUAACAAAUAAAUAUUAUAAUAACAAAUGAAUAUUACAACCUCUCGAAGACUACAUAUAAGACCACAUCACUCCCACAUUAGCAUGACAUGUAUAUGCCAUCAACUUCCAUGAAUACAUAUAAAAGCAAUGCAGGCCAGGAGUAAGACCAUCAUAUCCCAGAAGAUCACUAUGAUGUAUAAUGCUACAUAAAAACAUCACUUCACAUCAUUCAUAGAAUCACAACAUAUUCAGCUCCAAACUCAAACAUUAAUGCAUAUGAGUGCAAUGCAUGUCCACUUUUACAUUGCACCCCUCCUCUCUCAGGCAAUGUACAAUGCAUACUAGUAUGGUUGCAAACCAUAGGCCCGCGACAAAACUUCCAAUGCAAAUGAGAUGUUGAUGUGCAUGAUAUGCCACAAGUAUUAUUAAUCACUCCACCACCACUUCAACUUCAUCAAAGAUAUAAAUGUGACGAUAAAAUAUAGCAACAAGUAAAACCUCAGAUAGAUAAUCAUGGGCCAACAUAAUACACCAUAAUUGCCUAAACACCACAAUAUUCAGAUUAUCCUUAAAGGUAAUAUGGCUAUGAAUAUUAAAAUGUAGGUGAUAAAAAAUUACAAGUCAAAAUAGUAACAAACCACCGCUACAUUCACUGUCUCUUUACCGAAGAAGAUCAAAAGCGCUAGUGAUGAUCUGAAGCACCAACACCUGUUUUGCAACAUAUAACUCAGUAUAUACACCCAAUUAAACAAGUAUGAGCAAAUAAUAACAUCCUAUAUGCUGCAACCAACCAAAUGUAAAAAAGGGCAACACAAGAGGAGGACUGGCUGCAAAGGGAACUGAAGCGACUGUGCUUGAAGUUAGCUUCCCUGGAAAGAAUUGUUGCAAGACUAUAUUCCCGGGGUGAGGUACCUAAAGGAUGAAGAUGCUUUCCGAAAGAGGAAAAAUUAUAUUCCCAAACUCUUAGAUGGCAAUCGAAUGGCAACUUCUUAGGAGAAUAAACAUAGAGUAUUGUUUGACUUUUAUGAGAAUAUGUUGGGUACAGCCCCGUUAAGGCCCAUGAGCCUUGACCUACAAUUCUUUCAUCGGGAUUCAAUGGACUUAUCAGCUCUUGAUAAUCACGGAGGAUGAAGUUUGGGAAACAAUCAAAUCAAUGCCAUCAGAUAGUGUUAGGAUCGGCGGCUCGCCGUCCUAUGAUCGCCGCCGCACCGUCGAUGCCUGGUGCGCGGUCACCACCCAGAACCCGAGAGCGAGAGAUAGAGAUGGACAUAGGUUUUCGCUGCAACAACCGCAGCUCCUCCAGAUGCAAUCUUUGUUUAUAUAUCGCGGGCUUACCCCGCCUCCCCCCCCCCCCCCCCGCUGUAACAGCCAGCUGCACGGUGCGCCGUGAUAUCCGGAACGCCCAGUGCGACAUGCAUGGCUUGCUGCGCGACGGGGAGAUUUACAGAGCGGUCACGGCGUCAGUUGGGCAAGUCUCCAACUAACCUGCGAUUCUACGCUAAUCAAACAUGUUUGUUUCCUAAACAAAACACCUAAUGCACCUAGAAUGCUUAUGCGUGUUCAUUUGACACGAUUACAAGGUUCGACUCAACAUUUCACCCCCUUAAUUUGUCAAAUGCUAACAACCCCUAGCUGCCUUCUCAAUUCUGCGAAACGGAUCCUUGCAAGUGGCUUCGUCAGAACAUCAGCCAGCUGAUCUUCAGUGCUUAUAUGCUUCACUUCCAACACGCCACCAGCAACACACUCCCUGAUGUAGUGAUAUCUGGUGUCUAUAUGCUUCGAUCUCUCAUGAAAAACUGGAUUCUUGCUUAGCUCUUCUGCAGACCUGUUGUCGAUGAACAAUUUGAACUUCUUCACAUCACCACAGGUUAUAUCUGCUAUCAGCCUGCUAAGCCAGACUCCCUGACAGGCCCCUGUAGCAGCGGCUAUGUAUUCAGACUCACAAGAUGAUAAUGAGACCACCUUUUGUUUCUGUGAGCUCCAAGUAAUAGCAUUACCACCAUAGAAGAACAACACACCUGAUGUGCUCUUCCUUUUCUCAAGGUCACCUGCAUAGUCACUAUCUGUGAACCCAAUUAACUCAGAAUGUACCCCCUUCACAUACCUACAACCAAGCUUGAUGGUGCCUGCAACAUAUCUGAUGAUUCUCUUCAUUGCCCCCCAAAUGCUCUGAGUUCGGUGUCUCCAUGAAUCUACUAACCAUGCCCACUGAGAAAGCAAGAUCAGGCCUUGAGUUUACCAAAUACCUCGGACUACCAACUAGGCUUCUGAAUUGUGUUGCAUUUGCCACUAGCUCUGGCUUGACCGGCAACAGCUUGAUAUGCUGUUCCAUUGGAGUAUCAACCGGGUUACAUCCUUUCAUACCAGAGAUCUCAACAAUCUUCUCUGCAUAAGCACUUUGACACACUGUGAUUUCCCCUGGCUUCUGUUUUACCUCUAGUCCCAAGUAAUAUGACAGUAGGCCAAGAUCACUCUUGUCAAAACUCUUCUUCAUCUGCUGCUAGAACUCAGCUAUCCCUUUGCUGUCUGGCCCACAGAUGAUCAAAUCAUCAACAUAGACUCCAACUAGAAUCAGAGUGCUGUCUGUGCCUUUUCUGUACACAGCAUGCUCCUCCAAACUUCUAUUGAAGCCCAGCUUUCUCAACUCUUGAUCAAGUCUUGCAUUCCAGGCUCGAGGAGCCUGUUUGAGGCCAUACCAAACCUUGUUGAGUCUUAGAACCUUCCCUGAGUGCUUUGGAUCAGAAAAACCAGGUGGUGGGUUGACAUAAACUUCUUCCUCCAGAUUGCCAUUCAAGAAAGCUGAUUUGACAUCCAUAUGAUGCACCUGCCAUUCACCCUGUGCUGCAAGUGCCAACAACAGCCUCACUGUCUCCAUCCUUGCAACUGGGGCAAACACCUCAUCAUAAUCAACUCCAUGAAUCUGGGCAUAUCCCUUCACCACCAGCCUAGCUUUAUAUUUAACUAUAUUGCCAGCUGGGUCCUUCUUGACCUUAAACACCCACUUAAGGCCUAUAGCCUUAUGAUCCUUGGGCAAAUCAGCAUAAGCCCAAGUCUUGUUCUGUUCUAUCGACUUCAAUUCAGCUAACAUUGCAUCCCUCCAGCAAUUCUCCUCAAGAGCUGCCUCAACACUAGCAGGCUCUUCUGCUGCCAACAAGCACAUCCCACUAUAUUCAAAGUUCUGCACUUCAUCAGUUGAAUCCAUCAGUUCUGUCAGUAACCUGUACCUGUGAGGUCCCUCAGACACUGUUGAAUCCUGGGUAGGUGGAGUAACCCAUCCAUGCCCUUGUGCAGCACUUGACUGUAGUGUUAGAGGUGUCCUAGGUGCUCCUUGAUCAGAGAGCACAGCACCCCCUUGAUCUCCUGAAUCUGUAUCUGCCAUUUGCUGUUCAGAUUCAGAAUUCUCUGUUGUCGGAUUACUGUCAGAGUCUUCAUAACGAACAACAAACUCUCCUGACAGCUGAUCUGUGUUGCCUGUUGCAUUGGCCCAGGCCCAUGAUACAUUCUCAUCAAACAUGGCAUCUCUCCCUACCACUAGCUUGCCAGUAGCAGGAUUAUAGAAUCUAUAGCCCUUUGUUCCACUUUCAUAACCGAUGAAAAUCAUCUUGGCUGAUCUGUCAGAUAGCUUUGUCAGACCAGGACCAACCAACUUCACAUAUGCAACACACCCAAAAGUCCUCAUGUGCUUCACAUUGGGUUUUCUUCCAUGCCAAGCUUCAUAUGGGGUCAUGUUGUUCAGGCUCUUGGUGGGACACCUGUUCAACACAUACACUGCAGUACAUACAGCUUCACCCCAAAAUUCAGAAGGUAGUGCCAUUGUCUUCAACAAGCAUCUGGCCAUCUCUACUACAAUCUGAUUCCUCCUUUCUACCACCCCAUUCUGCUGAGGGGUAUAAGGAGUAGUAGUGUAAUGCUUUAUCCCACCUUCACUGCAGAAAAUUGAGAAUAGAUUGGAAUUGAACUCUCCCCCCCGAUCUGUUCUCAAUGCUUUCAACUUGCCAUCACAUUCAACCUCAGCUCUGUUUUUUAUUUUCUUAAAACAUUCCAGAGCCUGAUCCUUGCUCUUCAGCAAUUCCACCCACAUAUAUCUGCUGUGAUCAUCAACCACCAGCAAAAAAUAGGAUGCUCCCCCAAAAGACUUUGGAGAGAUAUGCCCACACAAGUCUGCAUGCACAAGUUCUAAGCAUCUUUCUGCCCUAUAGCUGGACACUUUUGGAAACAGAGACCUAUGUUGUUUUCCAAGAGCACACCCAUCACACACUUUCUCCACCCUUGUUACUGUUGGCAAACCAGUGACCAUGUUUUUGGAUUUUAGAUCACUAAGGGCUUUGAAAUUCAAAUGCCCGAAUCUAGCAUGCCAUCUCCAGGAAACAUCGUCAGCUUGGGCUUGCAGACAAACUGGUGAGUCUAACCCAAACUUAGCUAGAUAUAAUCUGUUCCCAACUCUAGGUGCAGAGAUUAGCAGUGUUUUCUCCUGAUCAUACACACACAAUCUCCCAUUCUCCCCAACAUAUUUGAACCCCUUUUCUUCCAACUGUCCCAAACUAACAAUGUUACUUUUCAGUUCAGGAAUAAAAUACACAUCAGUGAGGACCUUGUGACCCUUUUGGCGAUCUUGAAUCACCACUGAACCCAUGCCUUGGAUUCUAACUCUAGAGCCAUCCCCAAACCUUACUGAGCCUUUAACACCCUCAUUUAGCUGUGACAGCACUGAUCUGUUCCCUGUCAUAUGAUUACUUGCACCAGUAUCCAAAACCCAUACGCCAUCAGGAACAAGCACAGGUGUUACCUUCUCAAUGAGAUGAAUCUGGGACGCCUCCUGUUCGAUGUCGCAUGUUGCCAACAUCAAAGCGCUAGAGUGGUCAGCACCGCCGACAGCCACGUUCACCUCCGGCUGUGCUGCCUCCUUCUUCUCUUUCUUCGGGCGUUUACAGUCCUCCGCCCAAUGACCGUAGAUGCCACAGUUGCGGCACCGGCCCUUUCUUCGUGGUGUGCCCAUGGACGUCAGUUUGAUCUGGCCAGGGGCACCGCCAUCUGGGCGCGCCACCCCCUUGCCUUUCGAAGAGCCACUGCCGCCACCGCUCCCUCCAGGCUUGUUCCCUGAACUGAAACGAUGCUUGUGCUUCUCCAACCAAUCGUCCUCAGCCAACAUCAGUCGCCCCAUCUUGUCGGUGACCUGUUCUGUGUUGUCUUCGAGACGGUCCUGCGCCGCCCGCAGUCUACCGACGAGCUCAUCGACUGUCAAGGUCUUGAGAUCAACAAACAUCUCAAUAGACACCACGAUCUGCGAGAACCGUGGCGGUACCACUCGCAGAAACUUCUUCACGACGCGUACAUCUUCGAUCUUCUCCCCCAGAAUCUUGAGAUUCCCGACUAGAUUGGUUAUUCUCAUACCAAAAUCGUCGACGGAUUCUCCCUCCUUGAACUGGAUGUUCUCGAACUCCUUCAAGAGCCUCUGGGCGUUGACCUCCUUAACGCGAUCCGCGCCAACUCGCAUCAGUUUCACCGCUUCCCACGCCUCCUUCACGGAUUUCUUUCCCCCUAGCGUCUGCCACAUCUCCUUUGGGACCGAGCGCAGGAGUGCACUCAUGGCCUGCCGAUCUAGUGCACGCUUGGGCUUGUCACCGGGAUCGAUCACAUCCCAGAUCUCAAGCGCUUCAUAGUUGCAUUGCAUCAACAUUGACCACUCCGUGUAGUUGCCGCUGGUUAGCAUUGGCCACAUGAGGGAACUCUCCUUCACGGAGGACGUCUUGGUGGACGCGUCGCCCAUGGCGGCCGUGUGACGUACCCGGCGGCGCGAUUGCUGUUCUCCCUCUCAGAACACUCUCCCGAUGGACCACUGGAUCCACCGAUUGUCGCUCUGAUACCACGUGUUAGGAUCGGCGGCUCGCCGUCCUAUGAUCGCCGCCGCACCGUCGAUGCCCGGUGCGCGGUCACCACCCAGAACCCGAGAGCGAGAGAUAGAGAUGGACAUAGGUUUUCGCUGCAACAACCGCAGCUCCUCCAGAUGCAAUCUUUGUUUAUAUAUCGCGGGCUUACCCCGCCUCCCCCCCGCCGUAACAGCCAGCUGCACGGUGCGCCGUGAUAUCCGGAACGCCCAGUGCGACAUGCACGGCUUGCUGCGCGAUGGGGAGAUUUACAGAGCGGUCACGGCGUCAGUUGGGCAAGUCUCCAACUAACCCGCGAUUCUACGCUAAUCAAACAUGUUUGUUUCCUAAACAAAACACCUAAUGCACCUAGAAUGCUUAUGCGUGUUCAUUUGACACGAUUACAAGGUUCGACUCAACAGAUAGAGCACCGGGUCUAGAUGGAUAUACAGGUAAAUUUUACAAGGCAUGUUGGCAGGUGAUUAAAGCUGAUCUCAUGGCUGCAAUCAUUCUCACUGUUCAACAAGGUGAUGUAAUGGGGCUCAGACUAUUGAAUGCAGCUUUUAUCACUCUGAUCCCGAAGAAGAAUGUUGUAUUGGCUGCGAAAGACGUUCGCCCCAUCAACUUAGUACACAGCUUCGGUAAGCUUUUAACUAAGAUUCUCGCUAAUCGGGUGGCACCUAUCUUGGACUCCCUAAUCUCUACUAAUCAGAGUGCAUUUAUAUGUGGAAGAUGCAUUCACGAUAACUUCAUCAGUGCAGCAAACAGUUAAGGUGUUACAUCGACAUAAGGUGCCUAGCCUCUUUCUUAAUUUGGAUAUAUCAAAAGCUUUUGACUCGGCGUCUUGGCUGUUUCUUUUAGAAGUGUUACAACAUUUGGGCUUGGACUUCCGUGGCACAAUCUGGUGGCCAGUCUGUUUUCUUCAUCCUCAAUUUGAAUCUUAGUGAACGGAGAACCGGGAGAACUCUUACAACAUCAGCGUGGUCUGCAACAAGGGGACCCUCUAUCCCCCAUGCUCUUUAUUUUAGUGAUGGAUGUGCUCAACAGCCUAUUUGUGCAGGCAGCGAAUGAAGGGUUGCUACAAACUUUAUCCCCAUGGGUGGUUGGUCAAAGGCUUUCCUUAUGCUAAUGAUGUUGCAUUAUUUAUUAAGCCUAUUGAAGAGGAGAUGCAGAUCACUAAAGAAAUUCUCAAGGUGUUUGGGGAUGCUUCAGGAUUGCAGAUUAAUAUUCAAAAAAGCAAUAUUAUUCCCAUCAAUUGUGUAGGAGGGGAUUUGGCAGCAAUUCAUGAUAUUCUUCCGGGUACAAUUUUAGAGUUCCCGUGUAAAUACUUGGGCCUACCGCUAUCAAAUAAAAAGCUUAUUAAGUGUGAUCUUAUGCCAUGAAUUGAGAAAAUAGCUGAAAAACUCCCUAGCUAGAAAGCAGCUCUCAUGAAUAGGGCUGGACGUGCCAUGUUAGUCCGGUAUGUUCUCUGUGCCAUGCCGGUUCAUUUGUUAAUUGCCAUCAGCGUACCAAAAUGGUUCAUCAAGACAAUGGACAAAAUCAGAAGGGGUUCUUAUGGAAAGGAAAAGAAAAGGCUAAUGGAGGUUGUUGUCUUGUGGCUUGGGAGAAGGUCAUGAGACCAUUGGAUCUUGGUGGUUUGUGCGUCCCCAACUUGGAGGUGAUGGCCUAGGCUUUAUAAAUCAGGUGGCAAUGGAUCAAAAAGACUAAAGCUGAUCGUCUUUGGUUUGAUCUGGAACUACCGUCACACCCUAACUCAAUAGCUCUAUUUGCCAUGGCAAUCACGAUAGAGGUAGGGAAUGGACAAAAAUACUCUUUUCUGGACUGAUCGGUGGCUUCACGGAUGUUCGAUUGAAAAGCUUGCGCCAACUGUCUUUGCUCAUGUCUCUCCAAGAAUUUGCAAAAGCCAUACUGUGGCUGAUGCUCUCACCAAUGUUCUAGGGACGUUCAAGGAGGCCUAUCCUAAACUGGUAUUCGAGAAUUCCUACAGCUAUGGGAAUGGCUCUUGGGAAUUACUUUAACUGACCAAGAGGAUCGUCACAUGUGGAGGCUAGAUGCAAGGGGAUGUUACUCUUCCAGAUCUGCCUAUAAAAAAACUCGACCAGGGGGAGAGACGUCCCCCCUGAUUUUUGUCUUAAGAAGAUGGCGUCGUGACUCGAACCCGGGCUGGAUCAGCCAACCGCUUUUUUAGCGUGUUGUGCUGACCAGUUACACCAUGAGAGUGUUGGCUAGAUCUGCCUAUAAAUCUUUUUUUGUGGUGUUGUGAUCUUUGAACUUGGCAUCGGCUAUGGAAGACAUGGGUCCUGAGCAAAUACAAAAUGUUUUUGUGGCUAGCGAUACGUAAUAGAUGUUGGAGAGCAGAUCGGCUUUCCAGGAGGGGCCUCCCUCAUCCACAUAAAUGCCCCCUUUGCUACCAGGAAGAUGAGACAAUACAUCAUCUAUUAACAUCAUGUGUGGUGGCAAGACAAUUAUGGUUCAAAUUACUCACUCCACUGAACCUAGUAGACUCAGUCCCCCGACAAAAUGAAUUGAGCUUUUCUGAUUGGUGGCGCAUGACAAUAAGUAGAGUAGCAAGGAGCACAGGAAAGGUGUGAACUCUUUAAUUAUUCUAGGGACCUGGGUUAUUUGGAAGCAAAGGAAUACAUGUGUUUUUGAGGGGGCUUCCCCUUCUAUUAACAGGAUUUGGAGUGAUCUGAAGAAUGAGCAUAGCCUCUGGUGCAUGGCUGGGGCGAAGAAGCUUUAAGGGCUAGGAUUGACUCUGGUUGAAUAGGUCCAUUUAGCUAAGGUCGUGUUGUGCUAGUUCACUAUGUGUUUAAACAUUGUGUAUAUGUAAUCGCCUCACUCAUAUCCGGUCCCGUAUGAGUGAGGAUCCUGUUAGGAACCCUCUACUUUCAUCUCUAUAAUACAAUGAAACGCAGUUCUCAUGUGUAUUUUUUUAAAAGAUAUUUUUAAAUAGCAGCAGUACUGCUUCUUUUUUUCAUAGCUUUAAAACUAGAAAAUGUAUGCCAUCAAGUUAGAGCACUAUAAGCAUCUACACGGAAAAUCCUACAGUUUUGGUAUACACACAAAGAUUAAUUCUCAUAUCUACUGGAUGUAAAAUGGCUAAAAAAGCGGCACUGAAAAUUGUCCUUGCAGUACAAGGUGGCUGACUUAAAAAAAUCACAUCUCUCAAACAUCCAACCAAAAUCAGAGUUUAAAUACUAUAUGUAAAGAUCAUACAAAGUACUAUGAAAACCUCCAUAGCGCACUGGACCAAUUCGGCACCCAAAACUGAGGGUCAAAACUGAAACUGUAAUCUGACAGUAAAACAGGACAGCCAACUUCGAAAUUUUGAAUCUAGACUCGUACAUUGUACUCGACCACAAAUUAUGUUCGUUAUCAAUAUGGAAAGAUUAUCCAAUUACCUACAACCUUAAUUCAGAUAACAAUCUUCAAUUCGUCCAGGAAGAGUAUGUAAAAUAUGUUAGAACUAAACUGGUCUGAAUUUUCGACAGACCUAGACAACAAACUUCUGAAUUUCAUAUCUCCUAAAUCAUUUGGCCUAAAAUCUUCAACUUGGACUUCGUGGAAAGUUCUCAGAGUGAUCUAUAACUUCUUAGUUCAAUUGAAAAAAUAGUUCGGCCUCUGAGAUAAACAAAACUGUCGAACAACAGAAACUCCAGAUCUAAGAACUGCAGAAAAAUGUGGAUUCAAGGUCUAACAUUGAAACUUCAUCCCUAAUCCUUUCCUACCGUGAUUUACCGUACCAAAUACACCUUAAAUCAAGUUAUAUGGCAAAGGAUCAAACCUCAAUCGACCGAUCUAAUGCCUCUCCUUGAUCUUCUGGUCGCCCUUUUUACUAUCCAUCCUAGAGUUUCUUGCACCUUUGGAGAGGGAGACUAGAUGGACGAACAAGGUGCUGCCACGGUGGAGGGGAAGGAGAUCACAUGAUGGGGAGGAAAACAGGGAGGUCAGCUGUGAGAGGGGAUGGAGGUGAGUUACUGUAGCACUGGGUUUAUCUUUUUCCAAUCUCACGCAUCCAUUU